Molecule: long non-coding RNA, 2673 nt
Organism: Callithrix jacchus (white-tufted-ear marmoset)
Lineage: Eukaryota; Metazoa; Chordata; Mammalia; Primates; Cebidae
Source: RefSeq, a predicted model, not a curated record
GAAGCUGGAAUAUGAAAAAUAGAAGGCAGAGUGGUGAUGAAGUCAUCACUGACUUCCAGGCCCUGAGCCUGCUGACUCGGCGAGGAUGUGGGUGUGCUCCUUCACCAGACAGAAACGUUUCGUUUUGAUGACACAAGCAGCCACCGGGGAUGCAGCAGAUCUGGAGGAGUACAAGCUGAGUUGCAGAAGCAACGCGUGCAAAUAAGCCUCCAGCCACUGACUUGCCGCUGUGAUCUCUCGGGAAGACCUCUGUGCCCAAUUUUGGACGGCUAUACUUGCUAUAUUCAUCUGUGUUUCCGCCUCAAUCUCCUGGGAACAAUUCGGCUCUCUCAAAGAAAUGCCAAGGAAAGAGCUUCCCCUUUUCCAUUCCCUACCUCUCCUCUACAAGGAAGGAAGAGAAGUAGCUCCUCUGCAGGUGAAGAAACGAAAACCUCGAGAUCAAGAGACCUUCCCAGAGGUCACACUGCUAAAAAACCACAGCCAGACCUUCUCAUACGGCCACAAUGUACAGAGAAGAUGGAGUCUCACUGUGUCACCCAGGCAAGAGUACAGUGGCAUGAUCUUGACUCACUGCAACCUCCGCCUCCCGGGUUCCAGCAAUUCUUCUGCCUCAGCCUACCAAGUAACUGGGACUAUAGACACGUGCCACCACACCUGGCUCAUUUUUUUUUUAUUUUUAGUGGAGACGGGUUUUCACCCUGUUAGCCAGGAUGGUCUUGAUCUCCUGACCUCGUGAUCUGCUUGCCUUGGCCUCCCAAAGUGCUGGGAUUACAGGCAUGAGCCACUGUACCUGGCUAUAAGAUUUGUAUUUUCAAAUAGCAAAAAACAAUUCAAAUGGCAGUCUGUACACAUACAUGUUACUUCAUCAAAAGCACAAGGAAGAAACCAAAAUGACCCUGUGACAGAUGACACGAAACGGUGAAUUCCCAGUAGCACAGUUCAGGACAGUAUUUUAAAGGACUGUUUUAAGAUAAUGUCACAUUUGUUAUCUCCACAACCUGGACUUAUUCUUCGAAAACAAUUCCAAAAACAAACCUAAAACUUAAGAUAAAGCUGGAAAAAUAACAGAAGAAAUGCACAGACCAAUCAGAGAGAGACAGGGACAAGAGAGAAAAAUUCCCAGAGAAACAGCAGGACUAAAGGAUUCCCGGACUUGGAGAGGGGCAGCAACCAUGGGAAUCUGAGCUACAGUCACGUGUCAUCGAUCAGCACCAGUAUCUAUAAAAUUGAUAUUCAUCUUUCCUCCAACAGAGCACCUACCUUAGUGUGUGUUAUGGGCUGAACUGUGUUUCUUCCAAAAUUCAAAUGUUAAGAUCCUAGCCCCCAGGACUUCGGACUGCAAUCUUAUUUGAAGAUGGCACCUUUACAGAGGCAAUCAGGUUAAAACAAGGUCAUUAGGGUGGGACAUAAUCCAAAAUGACCGUUAUCCUUAUCAGAAGGAGAAACUUGGACACAGACACACAGGAACUAUGAUGUAAAGAGGACAGGAGAAGACGGCCAUCUACAAGCCACAAGAGAGGCCUGGAACAGAUCCUUCCCUCACAACCUUCAGAGGGAACCGACCCUGCCGCCACCAUGACCUUGAACUUCUAGCCUCUAGAACUGUGAGACCACACAUUCUUGUUAGUGGUAUUUUGUUAGGGGACAGCCCUGGCAAACUAAUCUAUUUAGCUAGACUACAUAUGGCCCAAUUAGGAUUUUAAUCAGUACAAUAAGCCUAAAUGUAGUUUUUUUUGACACAAAAUGGCGAAGAGUUACAGUUAAAUUUAAGUGGUAAUCAGCAGAAUAAUUAUACACAUGUGUAUGAAUACAUAAAUAUAGGCAUAGCUGGAGCUCACGCCUAUAAUCCCAUUGACUCAAAGGCUGACGUGGGAAGACUGCUUGAGUCCAGAAGUUCAAGACCAGCUUGAGCAACAUAGCAAGACUCUGUCUCUACAUGGAUUUUUUAAAUAUAAAAAACUAGCCAUGCAUGGUGGUGUGCACCUGUUGUCCUAGGUAUAUUCAGGAGGCUGAGGCAGGAGGAUGGUCUGAGCUCAGGAGUUCGAGGCUGCAGUGAGCUACGAUCAUUAUCACUGCACUGUAGCCUGGGUAACAGAGCAAGACAUCAUCUCGAAAGCAAAUCAAUAUAAGCACAGAUGCAGGUGCCGGUGUAGACAAGGACAUACGCAUAUGCAUAUGUGUGUAUUGUGCCCAAGGUCACAAAGCCAACAAGUGCCAGGAGCAGGACUCUUACCUGGGCAUAUGUGCCUCCAGGGCCCAUGCCUUGCUAUAAUACCACCAUGCUGUACCACUAACAAAGCUACAUGGCAAUGUAGAAAAUACCUGUGAUAACAGGACAAUGAUUGAUGCUGCAUAGAAUUUAGGGUGCUUCCAGUCAAGCAGGGAAAAGACUAUGUUAGCAAAUUUAUUAGAGUGACAGAAUAACAGUUUGUUUUAUUUUGGCUUUUGUUAUACUGGAAUUAAAAUAAAUUCGGUUACUCUAAUACGGAUGAAACCAAAUGACGGUCUUCCUUGUCAGAUCACUCCUCCAUCAUAUAAAAAGAAAUGGGAAGCCCCUCUGUGGGGUCCCCCUCCACAUUCCACACAACCACCUCAAACUGCAGACCUAAAUAUCUAAGGCACAGUGUCUUGUGGGUACAGAAGAUAAGGUUCAGAUUCUGGGCCUAGGGGAAG